CCUACGGGAGGCUGCAGUGGGGAAUAUUGCACAAUGGGGGAAACCCUGAUGCAGCGACGCCGCGUGAGCGAUGAAGUAUUUCGGUAUGUAAAGCUCUAUCAGCAGGGAAGAAAAUGACGGUACCUGACUAAGAAGCCCCUGCUAACUACGUGCCAGAAGCCGCGGUAAUACGUAGGGGGCAAGCGUUCUCCGGAUUUACUGGGAGUAAGGGGAGCGUAGACGGCUUGGCAAGCCGGAUGUGAAAGGCUGGGGCUCAACCCGAGGACUGCAUUUGGAACUGUCAUGCUAGAGUGUCGGAGAGGCAGGCGGAAUUCCUAGUGUAGCGGUGAAAUGCGUAGAUAUUAGGAGGAACACCAGUGGCGAAGGCGGCCUGCUGGACGAUGACUGACGUUGAGGCUCGAAAGCGUGGGUAGCAAACAGGAUUAGAUACCCCUGUAGUC
RNAcentral lists this ribosomal RNA (440 nucleotides) under uncultured bacterium. RNAcentral describes it as "partial 16S ribosomal RNA". It matches the Rfam family "Bacterial small subunit ribosomal RNA", at positions 338 to 795 of the family's 1533-position model. The record is from RNAcentral.